AUACGGAGGGUCCAAGCGUUAUCCGGAUUCAUUGGGUUUAAAGGGUACGUAGGCGGAUAGAUAAGUUAGUGGUGAAAUCCCGAAGCUCAACUUCGGAACUGCCAUUAAAACUGUCUAUCUUGAAUUUGGUUGAAGUGGGCGGAAUAUGACAUGUAGCGGUGAAAUGCAUAGAUAUGUCAUGGAACACCGAUAGUGAAGACAGCUCACUAAGCCAAUAUUGACGCUGAGGUACGAAAGCAUGGGUAGCGAACAGGAGUAGAAACCCUAGUAGUCC
Molecule: ribosomal RNA, 274 nt
Filed under: uncultured bacterium
Lineage: Bacteria
Description: partial 16S ribosomal RNA
Rfam family: Bacterial small subunit ribosomal RNA
Source: RNAcentral